AGCGAACGCUGGCGGCAGGCUUAACACAUGCAAGUCGAGCGGGCACUUCGGUGUCAGCGGCAGACGGGUGAGUAACACGUGGGAACGUACCCUUUGGUUCGGAAUAACGCUGGGAAACUAGCGCUAAUACCGGAUACGCCCUUCUGGGGAAAGGCUUGCUGCCGAAGGAUCGGCCCGCGUCUGAUUAGCUAGUUGGUGGGGUAAUGGCCUACCAAGGCGACGAUCAGUAGCUGGUCUGAGAGGAUGCUCAGCCACACUGGGACUGAGACACGGCCCAGACUCCUACGGGAGGCAGCAGUGGGGAAUAUUGGACCAUGGGCGCAAGCCUGAUCCAGCCAUGCCGCGUGAGUGAUGAAGGCCUUAGGGUUGUAAAGCUCUUUUGUCCGGGACGAUAAUGACGGUACCGGAAGAAUAAGCCCCGGCUAACUUCGUG
This 433-nucleotide ribosomal RNA is filed under the name uncultured bacterium. RNAcentral describes it as "partial 16S ribosomal RNA". It matches the Rfam family "Bacterial small subunit ribosomal RNA", at positions 29 to 507 of the family's 1533-position model. The record is from RNAcentral.